RNAcentral lists this ribosomal RNA (502 nucleotides) under uncultured bacterium. Its description in RNAcentral is "bacterial SSU rRNA". It matches the Rfam family "Bacterial small subunit ribosomal RNA", at positions 1 to 507 of the family's 1533-position model. The record is from RNAcentral.
CACGAGUUUGAUCAUGGCUCAGAUUGAACGCUGGCGGAAUGCUUUACACAUGCAAGUCGAACGGUAGAGGGGGCAACCCCUUGAGAGUGGCGAACGGGUGAGUAAUAUAUCGGAACGUGCCCAGUCGUGGGGGAUAACGUAGCGAAAGUUACGCUAAUACCGCAUACGAUCUAAGGAUGAAAGCGGGGGAUCGCAAGACCUCGCGCGAUUGGAGCGGCCGAUAUCAGAUUAGGUAGUUGGUGAGGUAAAGGCUCACCAAGCCAACGAUCUGUAGCUGGUCUGAGAGGACGACCAGCCACACUGGAACUGAGACACGGUCCAGACUCCUACGGGAGGCAGCAGUGGGGAAUUUUGGACAAUGGACGCAAGUCUGAUCCAGCCAUUCCGCGUGCAGGAUGAAGGCCCUCGGGUUGUAAACUGCUUUUGUACGGAACGAAAAGGUUUCUAUUAAUACUAGGAGCUCAUGACGGUACCGUAAGAAUAAGCACCGGCUAACUACGUG